CCGAGUUUACAACUCCCAAACCCCAUGUGAACAUACCUAAUACGUUGCCUCGGCGGGAUCACGCCCCGGCGCCCGUAAAAAGGGAACAGGCGCCGCCCGAGGAACCACCUAAACUCUGUCUGUUAGUCCCUCGGGAUACGGUCUGAGUAAACAAAUCAAAUAAUCA
RNAcentral lists this unclassified non-coding RNA (166 nucleotides) under soil metagenome. RNAcentral describes it as "partial internal transcribed spacer 1". The record is from RNAcentral.